UACCUAGUUGAUCUUGCCAAUAGUCAUAUGCUUGCCUCAAAGAUUAAGUCGUGCAUAUGUAAGUAUGAACUAAUUUAGACUAUGAAACUACGAAAGACUCAUUAAAUCUAUUAUAGUUUGUUUGAUGCUAUCUGCUACUCGGAUAAUCGUAGUAAUCUAGAGCCAAUACAUGCAACAAACUUCAACUUUUGGAAGGGAUGCAUUUAUUAGAUAAAAGGUUGACGUGGGUUUUGCCUAUUGUUCUGAUGAAUCAUGAUAACUCAAUGGAUUGCAUGGCCAUUAUGCUGAUGACGCAUCAUUCAAAUUUAUGUCCUAUCAACUUUUGAUGGUAGAAUAGGGGCACACUAUGGUAUUGGUGGGUGAUGGAGAAUUAGGGUCCGAUUCCAGAAAAGGAGCCUGAGAAAUGAUUACCACAUCCAAAGUAACAGGCAUGCAAAUUACCCAAUCCUGACACGGGGGAGGUAGUGACAAUAAAUAACAAUACUAGGCUCUUUCAGUUUGGUAAUUGGAAUGAGUACAAUCUAAAUCCCUUAACAAGGAUCCAUUGGAGGGAAAGUUUGGUGCCAAUAGUCACAGCAAUUCCAGCUCCAAUAGCGUAUAUUUAAGUCGUUGCAGUUAAAAAGCUUGUAAUUGGACCUUGGGAUGGGUCGACCGGUCCGCCUCGCUAUGUGCACCUGUCGCCUCAUCCCUUCUACUGGCGAUGUGCUCCUAGCCUUAAUUGGAUGGGUUGUGCCUUUGGUGCUGUUACUUUUAAGAAAUUAGAGUGCUCAAAGCAAGCCUAUGCUCUUAAUACAUUAACAUGGGAUAACAUCAUAUGAUUUUGGUCAUAUUCUGUUAGCCUUUGGGAUCAUAGUAAUGAUUAAGAAGGAUGGUCAGAGACAUUCGUAUUUCAUAGUCAGAGGUGAAAUUCUUGGAUUUAUGAAAGACGAAUAACUGCAAGGAAUGUUUUGACAUAUUUGCAUAGAGGAUGAGAAGAGAAAUUCAUUUCAUUUUUCAUAUAUUAUUGUGUUUGGAUAGAUUACGA
Molecule: non-coding RNA, 1024 nt
Filed under: Vitis vinifera (wine grape)
Lineage: Eukaryota; Viridiplantae; Streptophyta; Magnoliopsida; Vitales; Vitaceae
Description: Eukaryotic small subunit ribosomal RNA
Rfam family: Eukaryotic small subunit ribosomal RNA
Source: Rfam by way of RNAcentral